GACGAACGCUGGCGGCGUGCCUAACACAUGCAAGUCGAACGGAACUCGGGACUUCGGUUCUGAGUUUAGUGGCGAACGGGUGAGUAACGCGUGAGGAACCUGCCUUUCAGUGGGGGACAACAGUUGGAAACGACUGAUAAUACCGAAUAAGAUAUAAUUGUUAUGAUUAUAUUGAAAGAAGCCUUUAAAGCUUCACUUAAAGAUGGGCCUGCGGCGUAUUAACUAGUUGGUGGGGUAACGGCCCACCAAGUCGACGAUCGGUAGCCGAACUGAGAGGUUGAUCGGCCGCAUUGGGACUGAGACACGGCCCAGACUCCUACGGGAGGCAGCAGUGGGGGAUAUUGCACAAUGGGGGAAACCCUGAUGCAGCAACGCCGCGUGAGGGAAGAAGGUCUUCGGAUUGUAAACCUAAGUUGUCAGGGACGAACAAAUGACGGUACCUGAAAAGAAAGCUCCGGCUAACUACGUG
Molecule: ribosomal RNA, 469 nt
Filed under: uncultured bacterium
Lineage: Bacteria
Description: bacterial SSU rRNA
Rfam family: Bacterial small subunit ribosomal RNA
Source: RNAcentral